CUCAAAGCUAUAUUUCUCUUGGCUUCCAGGGAGAACUCUAUAAACUUUCAUUUGGCUACGCAGGUCAGAAAAGUAAAUGUCACUGCAGGCCCUCAUUUAGAAUCAGACUUCUAUUGGACACCUUUUCUGCCACAGCGAGGCUUCCUAAAUUCAACCUCUCCUAAAGAAGACCUUGGUUCCCUGGUGUGGCCGGCUGCCCCCAGCGCCUCCUUUGCUCUGUGCCUGUGCCCUCAUGUCUCCUGGGUCCUGGCUGGAGCACAUGGCAACCUCUGGACACUGAGAGACACUGAAGUGGGCAAGUAUCUCCCAGCAGCAGUGCACAGGAACACAGCGGCUUGGCAGCUGAGAACAAAGCCCCCUGGGGAGCUGCAGAAGCUGCAGGUGCUGGCUCACUCCAGGGCUGUUUCUGGGAUGUUGAGGUUGUAGAAUUUUCAAAGUCCCCCAGGACUCCACUGUGCAGCACAGGUUGUCAGCCUAGGUUUGGCCACAGCCUGUCACCCCAUUUCCUUGGUGCUUGGGUCCUGGCACCAUCCUGAGUGCUGUUGUGCUUCCUGCUUCGUCUUGGUUAAGCCUGGGGCUGAGGACUGGCCUGAGCAUCCUGCUCUGGGAGUGCUGCCAAGAUUCAGGAAGGGCAGCGGUCCAGCAAUCAGUCCUGUCCAGAGCACCAGUGUCCCCUCCAGAGCACCCUGGUGGCAGCAGCGCUCAGGGACAUAUGGGCACAGGAGUUGAGUUACACUUCAUUGCCCCAAAUCGCAAAGGCAGAGGAUAGGGUGGAACCUGGAGCUGGAGACCACAGAUCACGAGCAGGGAGUCAGUUGUGACUUGGAGCUGCAGACCAUGGUUCACUAGUACCUGCUUUACUUAUAAAAAAGCACUCCAAAAAGUUUGCAGAAAAUCGAAUAGAAAAGAUAAGUUUAGGAGCCAGCAUCUGGUGCAGCAGUUAAGCCCCUCCUUGGGAUUCCCACAUGCCCCAUCAGAGUGCCUAGUUCAAGUCUUGGUUCUGCUUUUGAUACCAGCUUCCUGCUAAUGUGCACCCUGGGGACAUCACUGAUGGUUCAAGUACCUGGGUCCCUGCCACCCGUAUGGGAGACCUGGAUGGAGCUACUGGCUCCUGGUUUUGGCCUGCCUCAGCCCCAGCUGUUGCAGAU
This 1148-nucleotide long non-coding RNA is filed under the name Oryctolagus cuniculus (rabbit). RNAcentral describes it as "lncRNA (ENSOCUG00000033020.1)". Lineage: Eukaryota; Metazoa; Chordata; Mammalia; Lagomorpha; Leporidae. The record is from RNAcentral.